ACACAUGCAAGUCGAACGGUAACAGGAAGAAGCUUGCUUCUUUGCUGACGAGUGGCGGACGGGUGAGUAAUGUCUGGGAAACUGCCUGAUGGAGGGGGAUAACUACUGGAAACGGUAGCUAAUACCGCAUAACGUCGCAAGACCAAAGAGGGGGACCUUCGGGCCUCUUGCCAUCGGAUGUGCCCAGAUGGGAUUAGCUAGUAGGUGGGGUAACGGCUCACCUAGGCGACGAUCCCUAGCUGGUCUGAGAGGAUGACCAGCCACACUGGAACUGAGACACGGUCCAGACUCCUACGGGAGGCAGCAGUGGGGAAUAUUGCACAAUGGGCGCAAGCCUGAUGCAGCCAUGCCGCGUGUAUGAAGAAGGCCUUCGGGUUGUAAAGUACUUUCAGCGGGGAGGAAGGGAGUAAAGUUAAUACCUUUGCUCAUUGACGUUACCCGCAGAAGAAGCACCGGCUAACUCCGUGCCAGCAGCCGCGGUAAUACGGAGGGUGCAAGCGUUAAUCGGAAUUACUGGGCGUAAAGCGCACGCAGGCGGUUUGUUAAGUCAGAUGUGAAAUCCCCGGGCUCAACCUGGGAACUGCAUCUGAUACUGGCAAGCUUGAGUCUCGUAGAGGGGGGUAGAAUUCCAGGUGUAGCGGUGAAAUGCGUAGAGAUCUGGAGGAAUACCGGUGGCGAAGGCGGCCCCCUGGACGAAGACUGACGC
Molecule: ribosomal RNA, 706 nt
Filed under: uncultured Pseudomonadota bacterium
Lineage: Bacteria; Pseudomonadati; Pseudomonadota
Description: bacterial SSU rRNA
Rfam family: Bacterial small subunit ribosomal RNA
Source: RNAcentral